RNAcentral lists this ribosomal RNA (465 nucleotides) under Vreelandella stevensii. RNAcentral describes it as "partial 16S ribosomal RNA". It matches the Rfam family "Bacterial small subunit ribosomal RNA", at positions 338 to 795 of the family's 1533-position model. Lineage: Bacteria; Pseudomonadati; Pseudomonadota; Gammaproteobacteria; Oceanospirillales; Halomonadaceae. The record is from RNAcentral.
CCUACGGGGGGCAGCAGUGGGGAAUAUUGGACAAUGGGCGAAAGCCUGAUCCAGCCAUGCCGCGUGUGUGAAGAAGGCCUUCGGGUUGUAAAGCACUUUCAGUGGGGAAGAAAGCCUUGGGGCUAAUACCCUCGAGGAAGGACAUCACCCACAGAAGAAGCACCGGCUAACUCCGUGCCAGCAGUCGCGGUAAUACGGAGGGUGCGAGCGUUAAUCGGAAUUACUGGGCGUAAAGCGCGCGUAGGCGGUCUGAUAAGCCGGUUGUGAAAGCCCCGGGCUCAACCUGGGAACGGCAUCCGGAACUGUCAGGCUAGAGUGCAGGAGAGGAAGGUAGAAUUCCCGGUGUAGCGGUGAAAUGCGUAGAGAUCGGGAGGAAUACCAGUGGCGAAGGCGGCCUUCUGGACUGACACUGACGCUGAGGUGCGAAAGCGUGGGUAGCAAACAGGAUUAGAUACCCCAGUAGUC